This 468-nucleotide ribosomal RNA is filed under the name uncultured bacterium. RNAcentral describes it as "partial 16S ribosomal RNA". It matches the Rfam family "Bacterial small subunit ribosomal RNA", at positions 28 to 507 of the family's 1533-position model. The record is from RNAcentral.
GACGAACGCUGGCGGCGUGCUUAACACAUGCAAGUCGAACGGUGAUGCUCCAGCUUGCUGGAGUGGAUCAGUGGCGAACGGGUGAGUAACACGUGAGCAACCUGCCCCAGACUCUGGAAUAAGCGCUGGAAACGGCGUCUAAUACUGGAUACGAAACUGGCCCGCAUGGGCAUGGUUUGGAAAGUUUUUCGGUUUGGGAUGGGCUCGCGGCCUAUCAGCUUGUUGGUGAGGUAAUGGCUCACCAAGGCGACGACGGGUAGCCGGCCUGAGAGGGCGACCGGCCACACUGGGACUGAGACACGGCCCAGACUCCUACGGGAGGCAGCAGUGGGGAAUAUUGCACAGUGGGCGAAAGCCUGAUGCAGCGACGCCGCGUGAGGGAUGACGGCCUUCGGGUUGUAAACCUCUGUCAGCAGGGAAGAAGCGAAAGUGACGGUACCUGCAGAAGAAGCACCGGCUAACUACGUG